CCCUCGCGCCCGACAGAGUCGCUGUAAUGAAUGCUCGGGAAGUUAUGGAGCGAAAGGAUACGAUCCCAGUGAUUAAUGCCAAAGCCCUGUUGCCUGGGGAGAGGGUGAUGUUUGACUUUCUUGUACAGCUGCAGUUUGUGGGGUGAAGGUGCUCCCACAAUGUGGUUGGAUCCCAGUGAUUAAUGCCAAAGCCCCAUUGCCUGGGGAGAGGGUGAUGUUUGACUUCCUUGUACAGCUGCAGUUUGUGUGGUGAAGGUGCUCCCACAAUGUGGUUGGGUGGACAUUCAGAUGGUAACCUCAGUAUUUGUAACACCAAACUCUGACAGAAUUACUCAAUUCAUCAGGACCUGGAUAUUUGCAUU
Molecule: long non-coding RNA, 362 nt
Organism: Hemiscyllium ocellatum (epaulette shark)
Lineage: Eukaryota; Metazoa; Chordata; Chondrichthyes; Orectolobiformes; Hemiscylliidae
Exons: 4
Source: RefSeq, a predicted model, not a curated record